RNAcentral lists this ribosomal RNA (700 nucleotides) under uncultured bacterium. RNAcentral describes it as "bacterial SSU rRNA". It matches the Rfam family "Bacterial small subunit ribosomal RNA", at positions 39 to 712 of the family's 1533-position model. The record is from RNAcentral.
GCGGCGUGCUUAACACAUGCAAGUCGAACGAGAAACCUCGAGCUUGCUCGAGGGAGUAAAGUGGCGCACGGGUGAGUAACACGUGGGUAACCUGCCCCCGAAUCUGGGAUAACCUCGCGAAAGCGUUGCUAAUACCGGAUAUUGUCCUAUCGGUUGUGACCUUUGGGAUGAAAGGCAACCUCUUCAUGAAAGUUGUCGUUCAGGGAUGGGCCCGCGUACCAUUAGCUUGUUGGUGGGGUAACGGCCCACCAAGGCUACGAUGGUUAGCUGGUCUGAGAGGAUGAUCAGCCACACUGGAACUGAAACACGGUCCAGACUCCUACGGGAGGCAGCAGUGAGGAAUUUUGCGCANUGGGGGAAACCCUGACGCAGCAACGCCGCGUGAGUGAAGAAGGCUUUCGGGUCGUAAAGCUCUGUCAAGUGGGAAAAAAGUCUGAUGAUUAAUAGUUGUCAGAUCUGAUGGUACCACUGGAGGAAGCACCGGCUAACUCCGUGCCAGCAGCCGCGGUAAUACGGAGGGUGCAAGCGUUGUUCGGAAUUACUGGGCGUAAAGGGCGUGCAGGCGGGUUGGUAAGUCAGAUGUGAAAGCCCUGGGCUUAACCCAGGAAGUGCAUUUGAAACUGCCAUCCUAGAGUAUGGGAGAGGAGAGUGGAAUUCCCAAUGUAGAGGUGAAAUUCGUAGAUAUUGGGAGGAACACCCG